RNAcentral lists this ribosomal RNA (492 nucleotides) under uncultured bacterium. RNAcentral's name for it is "partial 16S ribosomal RNA". It matches the Rfam family "Bacterial small subunit ribosomal RNA", at positions 28 to 507 of the family's 1533-position model. The record is from RNAcentral.
GAUGAACGCUAGCUACAGGCUUAACACAUGCAAGUCGAGGGGAAACGCCAUCGAAAGCUUGCUUUUGAUGGGCGUCGACCGGCGCACGGGUGAGUAACGCGUAUCCAACCUGCCCAUCACUUGGGAAUAACCUUGCGAAAGUAAGACUAAUACCCAAUGACAUCCCACGAAGACAUCUGAAUGGGAUUAAAGAUUUAUCGGUGAUGGAUGGGGAUGCGUCUGAUUAGCUUGUUGGCGGGGUAACGGCCCACCAAGGCAACGAUCAGUAGGGGUUCUGAGAGGAAGGUCCCCCACAUUGGAACUGAGACACGGUCCAAACUCCUACGGGAGGCAGCAGUGAGGAAUAUUGGUCAAUGGGCGAGAGCCUGAACCAGCCAAGUAGCGUGCAGGAUGACGGCCCUAUGGGUUGUAAACUGCUUUUAUAAGGGAAUAAAGUGGGUCUCGGGAGACUUUCUGCAUGUACCUUAUGAAUAAGGACCGGCUAAUUCCGUG